RNAcentral lists this small nuclear RNA (23 nucleotides) under Arabidopsis thaliana (thale cress). RNAcentral's name for it is "snRNA_12134". Lineage: Eukaryota; Viridiplantae; Streptophyta; Magnoliopsida; Brassicales; Brassicaceae. The record is from RNAcentral.
GACGUCUCACACAGAGCUUUUAG